AUUAAGGUGGCAGAGCCAAGCUAAUGCAAAAGACCUAAAAUCUUUAUACAGGGGAGCAAAUCCCCUCCCUAAUA
Molecule: transfer RNA, 74 nt
Filed under: Psammodromus algirus
Lineage: Eukaryota; Metazoa; Chordata; Lepidosauria; Squamata; Lacertidae
Description: tRNA-Leu
Rfam family: tRNA
About the family: Transfer RNA (tRNA) molecules are approximately 80 nucleotides in length.
Source: RNAcentral